GACGAACGCUGGCGGCGUGCUUAACACAUGCAAGUCGAACGGAAAGGCCCUGCUUUUGUGGGGUGCUCGAGUGGCGAACGGGUGAGUAACACGUGAGUAACCUGCCCUUGACUUUGGGAUAACUUCAGGAAACUGGGGCUAAUACCGGAUAGGAGCUCCUGCUGCAUGGUGGGGGUUGGAAAGUUUCGGCGGUUGGUGAUGGACUCGCGGCUUAUCAGCUUGUUGGUGGGGUAGUGGCUUACCAAGGCUUGGACGGGUAGCCGGCCUGAGAGGGUGACCGGCCACAUUGGGACUGAGCUACGGCCCAGACUCCUACGGGAGGCAGCAGUGGGGAAUAUUGCACAAUGGGCGGAAGCCUGAUGCAGCACCGCCGCGUGCGGGAUGACGGCCUUCGGGUUGUAAACCGCUUUCGCCUGUGACGAAGCGUGAGCGACGGUAAUGGGUAAAGAAGCACCGGCUAACUACGUG
This 468-nucleotide ribosomal RNA is filed under the name uncultured bacterium. RNAcentral's name for it is "partial 16S ribosomal RNA". It matches the Rfam family "Bacterial small subunit ribosomal RNA", at positions 28 to 507 of the family's 1533-position model. The record is from RNAcentral.